GAUGAACGCUGGCGGCGUGCCUAAUACAUGCAAGUCGAGCGAACAGACGAGGAGCUUGCUCCUCUGACGUUAGCGGCGGACGGGUGAGUAACACGUGGAUAACCUACCUAUAAGACUGGGAUAACUUCGGGAAACCGGAGCUAAUACCGGAUAAUAUAUUGAACCGCAUGGUUCAAUAGUGAAAUACGGUUUUGCUGUCACUUAUAGAUGGAUCCGCGCCGCAUUAGCUAGUUGGUAAGGUAACGGCUUACCAAGGCAACGAUGCGUAGCCGACCUGAGAGGGUGGUCGGCGACACGGGAACGGAGACACGGACCAGACUCCUAAGGGAGGCAGCAGUAGGGAAUCUGCCGCAAUGGGCGAAAGCCUGACGGAGCAACGGCGCGUGAGUGAUGAAGGUCUUCGGAGCGUAAAACUCCGUUAUUAGGGAAGAACAAAUGUGUAAGUAACUAUGCACGUCUUGACGGUACCUAAUCAGAAAGCCACGGCUAACUACGUG
This 497-nucleotide ribosomal RNA is filed under the name uncultured bacterium. RNAcentral describes it as "partial 16S ribosomal RNA". It matches the Rfam family "Bacterial small subunit ribosomal RNA", at positions 28 to 507 of the family's 1533-position model. The record is from RNAcentral.